GACGAACGCUGGCGGCGUGCUUAACACAUGCAAGUCGAACGGAAAGGCCCUGCUUUUGUGGGGUGCUCGAGUGGCGAACGGGUGAGUAACACGUGAGUAACCUGCCCUUGACUUUGGGAUAACUUCAGGAAACUGGGGCUAAUACCGGAUAGGAGCUCCUGCUGCAUGGUGGGGGUUGGAAAGUUUCGGCGGUUGGGGAUGGACUCGCGGCUUAUCAGCUUGUUGGUGGGGUAGUGGCUUACCAAGGCUUUGACGGGUAGCCGGCCUGAGAGGGUGACCGGCCACAUGAGGACUGAGAUACGGCCCAGACUCGUACGGGAGGCAGCAGUGGGGAAUAUUGCACAAUGGGCGGAAGCCUGAUGCAGCAACGCCGCGUGCGGGAUGACGGCCUUCGGGUUGUAAACCGCUUUCGCCUGUGACGAAGCGUGAGUGACGGUAAUGGGUAAAGAAGCACCGGCUAACUACGUG
Molecule: ribosomal RNA, 468 nt
Filed under: uncultured bacterium
Lineage: Bacteria
Description: partial 16S ribosomal RNA
Rfam family: Bacterial small subunit ribosomal RNA
Source: RNAcentral